AUCUCCACACCAGAGCCACGAGUUCCAGGUAGCUCUACAUUUGACACAAUUUCUCACCAUGCCAAAGAAAUCUCUUCUCCCAGGCCACAGCCAAAUGGAACCAUCUGCACCAUGAAGCUGAAGAUAAAGCCGCAGAAAGAUUGCUGUAUUGUGAGUGGAGAAGAGCCCUGCUUCUCUUCACUGGCUGAUGUGCAGACAUUUAUUAGUAAAUCUUCACGGCGGUCUAGGGAGUGACAGCAUCCUCUGGAAUAUUUCAACUACAAAAGGCCUUUGACUGAGCGCUGUUCAUCGAGUCCAGCCCCGGCUUUGCAAAUAAACAGCUGACACCAAGAGAGGAGAAGCAACACGGCUGAGGCCACAGGGUGACAAAGCCUUAACAGGGGUGGUCUUUGGCCGGAGGAAGAAAUGGCUUUGUUGCUCAGGAGAGCUUUGGGAAUGGAACUCAGGGGCUUCCAAAGAGCAGCAAUCAGGAAAACAAGCAGGGAGGAUCCAGGUUUUGCAAGGCCUGAAGCCUGCACACUAGGGAGCCCCAUGCUCUGUGAAGGAGAGAACAGUGAUAAGAAGAAGAUAAUGAUUCAGCAGCUUUGCAAACAUUGUUUGGUGAAUAAACAGCCCCGUUCAGUGCACCGGUUUCUUCCUCCCAUCAUGGGACAGGUGGAAUGUGAUCUGAGAUGCCAGCCUUGGUCAGCUGGAGGGUUGUUCAGCUGCCUCGUGACUCCUCCUCGGUAUUUCUGGCCCAAGAAGUUGGGCCUGGGAGGACAGACCCAGCCCAACCAUCCUCCUGUGAAGGACCCUUCGUGACGGGGUGGAGGCCACACUCUCUGGCUCCUGCUCCUGAUCACUUUCCUUCCCGUUCCUCAUGAACAUGUCCAGGCAUCAGCCCAGGGGCAGAUCUAGGAAAGCCUGGAGCCACCGGGCCCCUUGGAGCUUCCUCAGGGGCCACCAGAGGGUGGGGGCCCGGUAAGCAGCUCCCUUGCACCUGGCUUAGUCUGUAAUCUAGUGCAAUCCCUUCACCGUGAGGAUAAUUGGGCCCAGAGGGCUCAUGGUGAGUCAGACAGCCUGGGGUCCAGUCCCCAGCUGGGGGCUUUGCCCACAGCACCUUGUGCCCUCUCUCCUUUGUGGGUCUAUCCUCGUCCUCACACACGUUGUCUCUCUGUUCCAGGGAAGGAGUAUUCCAUGGCCCAUAAUCCGUGUGAACAGAUAGACAACGGGAAGCAUCUUUGUUAUUCCAACACUGGGGCAAUUUCUUUCACCAACCCGUAGCAGAGGCCUUAAUGAGGCUUCAGUCUAGCUGAAAAGGUUGUCCAAACCCCACACGUAGCACCAGGUGAGCCAUAACUAAGACUGGACUAUAUGUGGGCUCUCACUUUGGACCCUAUCCAGACCUUCCCACUCACUCCCUGUGGGAUCUACAGAAGUCUUUCCCUUCUCUGGACCUUAGUCUCCUCAUCUAUACAAUGGUGAUGUUGGACCAGAAAUUCUAAGGACCCCCUUUCUCCUGAUCUGUUCCUGAUUCUAUAAGGCCAGGGGUGGGAACAACCAUCCUGGAAUCCUCUCAGGAAAAAGCUGCUCAGGCAGGGUGCAGUGGCUCACGCACUUUGGGAGGCUGAGGCGGGCAGAUCAUUUGAGGUCAGGAGUUU
Molecule: long non-coding RNA, 1640 nt
Filed under: Homo sapiens (human)
Lineage: Eukaryota; Metazoa; Chordata; Mammalia; Primates; Hominidae
Description: HSALNT0148839
Source: RNAcentral